UGCAGCCGAGCGGUAGAGUCUCUUCGGAGACUUGAGAGCGGCGCACGGGUGCGGAACACGUGUGCAACCUGCCUUUAUCAGGGGGAUAGCCUUUCGAAAGGAAGAUUAAUACCCCAUAAUAUAUUGAGUGGCAUCACUUGAUAUUGAAAACUACGGUGGAUAGAGAUGGGCACGCGCAAGAUUAGAUAGUUGGUAGGGUAACGGCCUACCAAGUCAAUGAUCUUUAGGGGGCCUGAGAGGGUGAUCCCCCACACUGGUACUGAGACACGGACCAGACUCCUACGGGAGGCAGCAGUGAGGAAUAUUGGACAAUGGGUGAGAGCCUGAUCCAGCCAUCCCGCGUGAAGGACGACGGCCCUAUGGGUUGUAAACUUCUUUUGUAUAGGGAUAAACCUUUCCUCGUGAGGAAAGCUGAAGGUACUAUACGAAUAAGCACCGGCUAACUCCGUGCCAGCAGCCGCGGUAAUACGGAGGGUGCAAGCGUUAUCCGGAUUUAUUGGGUUUAAAGGGUCCGUAGGCGGAUCUGUAAGUCAGUGGUGAAAUCUCAUAGCUCAACUAUGAAACUGCCAUUGAUACUGCAGGUCUUGAGUAAGGUAGAAGUAGCUGGAAUAAGUAGUGUAGCGGUGAAAUGCAUAGAUAUUACUUAGAACACCAAUUGCGAAGGCAGGUUACUAUGUCUUAACUGACGCUGAUGGACGAAAGCGUGGGGAGCGAACAGGAUUAGAUACCCUGGUAGUCCACGCCGUAAACGAUGCUAACUCGUUUUUGGGCUUUCGGGUUCAGAGACUAAGCGAAAGUGAUAAGUUAGCCACCUGGGGAGUACGUUCGCAAGAAUGAAACUCAAAGGAAUUGACGGGGGCCCGCACAAGCGGUGGAUUAUGUGGUUUAAUUCGAUGAUACGCGAGGAACCUUACCAAGGCUUAAAUGGGAAUUGAUCGGUUUAGAAAUAGACCUUUCCCUUCGGGCAAUUUUCAAGGUGCUGCAUGGUUGUCGUCAGCUCGUGCCGUGAGGUGUUAGGUUAAGUCCUGCAACGAGCGCAACCCCUGUCACUAGUUGCCAUCAUUCAGUUGGGGACUCUAGUGAGACUGCCUACGCAAGUAGAGAGGAAGGUGGGGAUGACGUCAAAUCAUCACGGCCCUUACGCCUUGGGCCACACACGUAAUACAAUGGCCAGUACAGAGGGCUGCUACCAGGCGACUGGAUGCUAAUCUCGAAAGCUGGUCUCAGUUCGGAUUGGAGUCUGCAACUCGACUCUAUGAAGCUGGAAUCGCUAGUAAUCGCGCAUCAGCCAUGGCGCGGUGAAUACGUUCCCGGGCCUUGUACACACCGCCCGUCAAGCCAUGGAAGUCUGGGGUACCUGAAGUCGGUGACCGUAACAGGAGCUGC
RNAcentral lists this ribosomal RNA (1386 nucleotides) under Chryseobacterium ginsenosidimutans. Its description in RNAcentral is "bacterial SSU rRNA". It matches the Rfam family "Bacterial small subunit ribosomal RNA". Lineage: Bacteria; Pseudomonadati; Bacteroidota; Flavobacteriia; Flavobacteriales; Weeksellaceae. The record is from RNAcentral.